Molecule: ribosomal RNA, 253 nt
Filed under: uncultured bacterium
Lineage: Bacteria
Description: partial 16S ribosomal RNA
Rfam family: Bacterial small subunit ribosomal RNA
Source: RNAcentral
UACGAAGGGGGCUAGCGUUGCUCGGAAUCACUGGGCGUAAAGGGUGCGUAGGCGGGUCUUUAAGUCAGGGGUGAAAUCCUGGAGCUCAACUCCAGAACUGCCUUUGAUACUGAGGAUCUUGAGUAUGGGAGAGGUGAGUGGAACUGCGAGUGUAGAGGUGAAAUUCGUAGAUAUUCGCAAGAACACCAGUGGCGAAGGCGGCUCACUGGCCCAUUACUGACGCUGAGGCACGAAAGCGUGGGGGGCAAACAGG